RNAcentral lists this ribosomal RNA (407 nucleotides) under uncultured bacterium. RNAcentral describes it as "bacterial SSU rRNA". It matches the Rfam family "Bacterial small subunit ribosomal RNA", at positions 355 to 776 of the family's 1533-position model. The record is from RNAcentral.
UGGGGAAUAUUGGGCAAUGGAGGCAACUCUGACCCAGCAACGCCGCGUGAGGGAAGAAGGUUUUCGGAUUGUAAACCUCUGUCCUAGGGGACGAAGAAAGUGACGGUACCCUAGGAGGAAGCCCCGGCUAACUACGUGCCAGCAGCCGCGGUAAUACGUAGGGGGCGAGCGUUGUCCGGAAUUACUGGGCGUAAAGGGUGCGUAGGCGGUUUAAUAAGUUAGAUGUGAAAUCCCCGGGCUUAACUUGGGAGUUGCAUUUAAAACUGUUAAACUAGAGUGCAGGAGAGGAAAGCGGAAUUCCUAGUGUAGCGGUGAAAUGCGUAGAUAUUAGGAGGAACACCAGUGGCGAAGGCGGCUUUCUGGACUGUAACUGACGCUGAGGCACGAAAGCGUGGGGAGCGAACAGG